Long non-coding RNA from Gopherus evgoodei (Goodes thornscrub tortoise), 1486 nucleotides. RefSeq lists it as uncharacterized. The record is from RefSeq and is a predicted model, not a curated record. The transcript is spliced from 3 exons. NCBI's taxonomy places the organism in Eukaryota, Metazoa, Chordata, Testudines, Testudinidae.
UUUGAAAACCAGUCGCCUUCCAUCUUUGCUCUUGUAGCAAAUGCUAUUACCUGCUGCAGGAACAGUUUCUCUGUGCAGGCUGCAGGCUUCCUGUUCCUGUGCCAGUCAUGAACCCACAUUGUCUGGCACUGCAGAGCCACCAAUAGGGCUGAGGAGGAAGGAGCUAACACGGAGGAGGAAAGGAGUGCACAAACAAGCAAACCCAAAUCUAAUCACUCACAUACCCUCACAAGUAGUGGACAGACUUGAGGAUUACUUGCCCUUUUCUCUUAAGUGGGAGCUUAGAGACCACCAUCCACAGUCUAAGUUAAACCAACAUGGAAGAAAUCCUCAUCCCUUUGCUGUUAUUAACUCUGAGUCCUGCAUGUGUCCUCUGUAUCUGUGCUAAGUCAUCCUUUAUUAACUGAGACUCAUGUUGGACUAUGCAAAAAUAGGCUGCUGAAGAAUCACAGUUAGUGUACGUUAGAGACCUGCAGAGAGCUCUGUGUAACUUACAAGCUUGUCUCUUUCACCAUCCAAAGUUGGACCAAUAAAAGAUGUAGACCAACAUGGCUACAAUAAUACUGCAAACACAUAGAGUAAGUCAUAUGCAAUUAAAAUAAAGACAUCUGGAUUUUUAUUAAUAGCUUGUAAUGUAGGACACUUUCUUUAAACAUUUUUCCCUUGGACUGUUUGAGAGAAUCAGGAUUCACAUAUGUAAAUGUGCUUCUUUAUCAGGCUCCCAUAUACAACUGUGGCACCCUGUUGAGAUUUCCUUCAAUCUUCAAUUUCUUUGGUUUUUCCUCCUUUAGCAAUUUGUGUCUGGUAGCAUCUUUAUAGGCUAGCAGACUGCAGAUAUAUUGCUGCAUCCAAACUUCUUUUUAGAAAGGAAAGGAUCAAUACUGCAGCAUGAUCUCACAUUGGAUUACCCCUCACUUCAUCACCUAUUGAUAGGGUGGUGACUUGGGUAGAUUACUAAGCAGUUGCUGUGAAGCAAGUAGUACGGGGGAUUUUCUGUAUUAUGUUUUAUCUCACGUUUGAAAAAAUGACUCCCAGAGGAAUGUUAUUGCCGUAAGAUGUGUCAGCUCACACAGUGCCAGAUAAACAGCUCACUCUAUGGAAACAGCCUUAAGGCAAACACAGUUCAUAAAUACAAGCCUUGUACUUUGGACAAACAAAUCCAGCUCUGGGACCAGGAAAAAGCUCACCCUGUCCAUGGGAGACCAUCUGUGUUCAAGCAGGUAGAGUCCUCUCUCCUUGCCUUUUCUGGCUCCUGCAGAAGUUUCCCUCAACUUACACUGAUGGAAGAAGGCUUAAGAGAGAGACCAAACUGAACAGUUUCUGCUUUUUAUAAUCUUCCAGCACCUCUAUCAGAUGACCUCCCGAUCAGCCUCCACAGGUGAACAGAGACCCCUACCUGGCGUGAUGUAAAACGCCACCAUGUAAGGAAAUAGACUAAAUGGAUCAGCGGAAGAGUGUUUCAGGCUAUGAAAUGGAAGUAUUUCAG